AGUCCAGCUGCAGUCUCUCAGAUGAUCGCUACUUUAGGCACAGCAUUCAUUAAGGAGGUUGCAAGAGAAGUUAUAAAACUAUUAGUAGUCACCGAGGCCGUUGACUAUUAAGCAGGGGAGAAUGUAACCGGGUCAUAUUUUGAGGUUGUUGUAUGUUUUCUAAGUGGUAAUGGGACAUGUCUCCUUUAAAUGCCAGAAAACUACAUUGCAUCAUGUUGUAGUUCCUGGGUUGGUAUGUGGUGAAUUCUGGGUAUUAAGACUGGGGCGAGAACGCAGUGCAUCAGAGAAGGUGGCUGGCGUGAGGGAUAUUUGGUGAUACUUGGUUAAUAUUGCUGGUAAGUGGGACAUUUGUCUUAAAAUACUUUAAUAACCAUGCAAUUGUAUAUAUCAUUGAUUUAUAUGAAUGGAUGAGUUCGUUUGGGAAAGAAUGUUUGUGGAUUCUGGCAGCAUGUGGAUUAGCCCAGUCGCUCUGUCAUUUGGGGAUGUAGCUAAAUUUAAGUUUACAUUUGUGAAAUACAAUUCCGUUUUGGCUAUAGAGUGAAGAGUAUGAGGUGAUGUAGUUAGUGUAGAUGUAUUUUGUAGGAAAUUAAGUUGCAUACAGGCUGUAUUAAAGUGAAUUGUCAUGUUUCACCUAGCAGACAUAUAGCCAUAGUGGUAUCCUGGGAGCACACGUGUGUGGAGGAUAGAGAUGUGUGCGUGUUAGGAACAUUAUCACCACUACCGUUUUGUAUUGCUGAACCUUACUUUCAUUUAUUUUCUUAUACGGCUAGUUGAGCUACAGAGUUGGGAUAGGCUUAGCUUGUGUACAGGUUAGUUUAUCAUAUAAGAUUUCUAUUUGAUGUCAUUUUAUUUUUGUACUUUUCUAUACAAAUAUUUUGUUUUAUAUAUCUAUCAGAUAAAGAACCCUUACUCUUAA
Molecule: long non-coding RNA, 916 nt
Organism: Clupea harengus (Atlantic herring)
Lineage: Eukaryota; Metazoa; Chordata; Actinopteri; Clupeiformes; Clupeidae
Exons: 2
Source: RefSeq, a predicted model, not a curated record